ACGGUCGAAUCAUGUUGAAACGCCUGUUUUCGUACGAACAUCGAAGUUAAGCAACCUCAAGCCUGGUCAGUACCUAGAUGGGUGAACACUUGGUAAUACCCGGUGCUGUAA
Molecule: non-coding RNA, 111 nt
Organism: Acanthosepion pharaonis
Lineage: Eukaryota; Metazoa; Mollusca; Cephalopoda; Sepiida; Sepiidae
Source: the annotation of a GenBank genome assembly